CACCCGCAGCACAAGUGGUGGUCACUUUUAUUGAGCCUAAAGCGUUCGUAGCCGGUUUUGUAAAUCUUUAGAUAAAGCCUGAAGCUUAACUCCAGAAAGUCUGAAGAGACUGCAAGACUUGAGAUCGGGUGAGGUUAAACGUACUUUCAGGGUAGGGGUAAAAUCCUGUAAUCCCGGAAGGACGACCAGUGGCGAAAGCGUUUAACUAGAACGAAUCUGACGGUAAGGAACGAAGGCUAGGGUAGCAAACCGGAUUAGAUACCCGGGUAGUCCUAGCUGUAAACACUGCCCAUUUGAUGUUGCUUUUCCGUUGAGGGAAGGCAGUGUCGGAGCGAAGGUGUUAAAUGGGCCGCUUGGGAAGUAUGGUCGCAAGACUGAAACUUAAAGGAAUUGGCGGGGGAGCACCGCAACGGGAGGAAUGUGCGGUUUAAUUGGAUUCAACGCCGGAAAACUCACCGGGAACGACCUGUGCAUGAGAGUCAACCUGACGAGUUUACUCGAUAGCAGGAGAGGUGGUGCAUGGCCGUCGUCAGCUCGUACCGUAGGGCGUUCACUUAAGUGUGAUAACGAGCGCGACCCACAUCUUUAAUUGCAAAUGUAUAUGAGAAUAUGCAUGCACUUUAGAGAAACCGCCAGCGCUAAGCUGGAGGAAGGAGUGGUCGACGGCAGGUCAGUACGCCCCGAAUUUCCCGGGCUACACGCGCAUUACAAAGAACGGGACAAUACGUUGCAACCUCGAAAGGGGAAGCUAAUCGCGAAACCCGUCCAUAGUUAGGAUUGAGGGCUGUAACUCGCCCUCAUGAAUCUGGAUUCCGUAGUAAUCGCGGGUCAACAACCCGCGGUGAACAUGCCCCUGCUCCUUGCACACACCGCCCGUCAAACCAUCCGAGUUGGUGUUGGAUGAGGUUUAAUUCGAGAGGGUUAAAUCAAAUCUGAUGUCGGUGAGGAGGGUU
Molecule: ribosomal RNA, 953 nt
Filed under: uncultured archaeon
Lineage: Archaea
Description: bacterial SSU rRNA
Rfam family: Archaeal small subunit ribosomal RNA
Source: RNAcentral